ACCUUCUCUUGAUAUACCAGCAUGUGUACUGCCGUUGUAAGCAUACCUCUAAAAGAUAAAGUAUGCUACUAUGACCCCAAACUCAUACACAUCAGGUCAAAGUGCAGCCCAUAAGAAGGUGAUGAUGGGUUACAACCCAAAACCAGAUUAUCAACUAAGAAAUAAAAAAUCUUACGAAAGUGGACUUGGUUGUAAUUAAUUUACAAGUUAAAUAAAUGAAUAAAAAUCUAAGGCAUGCACACAUCGCCCGUCACUCUAUCCCAAAGGAUAGAUAAGUCGUAACAAAGUAGGUGUAAUGGAAAUUGCACCUGUCGAAGUAUAGCAUAUAAAAUGCUUUUUACUUACACUAAAAAUAAAGUCAUUGACUUACCUCGCCCAAGACACAUAAUCUUUAAAAUAACAGAUAACAAAAACAAUCACACUAAAGAAAUAUACAAGUACAGAAAUGGAAAAAAUAAUAAAUAAAAGUAAAUUUUAAUAAAUGUACCUUGUGCAUUAUGGUUUUACAAGAAUAUAAUUAAAAAUAAAGAUCCCGAAUUCUAAGUGAGAUGUUGAACUGCUGCUAAGAGCCCAUUAGUAACUGUAGAAAAAGCUUUAAAAGACAGUUUAACAGAGGCUACAUACCAUCCGCAUAAGAAUAUAGCUGGUUUUCAACAAACAUUAUACAUUAAGACAUAUAAUGACAUUAUAGUGUAAUAUUAUUGAGGAUAAGCCCAAUAAUAUUAGUAAUAUUAAUAUUAACCCAAUCUAAUAUAUAGGCCUAAAAUCAGCCAACCAAAAUACUUUACCGUAAUAGAUAGAGGUAAAAUAAAUAUAUUAAUAUACUAAAUACAGUUGAAAUAGUGGAUAAACCAAAUACCCCACUUAUACUAUGUAAAAAUAAGUAUUAUAAAACUAUAACAACACUAAUCAAGAAUUAACAAUCUAUAGCUUAAUAAUAUUUAAUUAAGGAACUCGGCAAACUAGUAUUUCGACUGUUUAACAAAAACAUUGUCUCAUGAAUAAAAUAUGAGAUAGCUCCUGCC
This 1025-nucleotide unclassified non-coding RNA is filed under the name Amynthas sp. YN201719-04. Its description in RNAcentral is "partial contains 12S ribosomal RNA, tRNA-Val, and 16S ribosomal RNA". Lineage: Eukaryota; Metazoa; Annelida; Clitellata; Crassiclitellata; Megascolecidae. The record is from RNAcentral.